Non-coding RNA from Rhopilema esculentum, 7575 nucleotides. NCBI's taxonomy places the organism in Eukaryota, Metazoa, Cnidaria, Scyphozoa, Rhizostomeae, Rhizostomatidae. The record is from RefSeq and is a predicted model, not a curated record.
AAAGCCCCCUGUUUCCAACAUAAUUUCAGGAAAAGCUGAGGUUUUAUUGCAGUGAAUUUUAUCACAGUUGUUUGUGGAUUUGUUAAGAAUAUAGAUGAUAGAUAAUGUUUUCAGGGAAGAAGCUAUUUAGAUUAAGCAGAAGCCUAUAUACAACGAAAAUAUUUCACCAAAGUAGUAGAUGCGAAAGAUGCAAUUUAUUACGAAGGACUACCAGCAAAAAAACAAUUUCUAGUAAUAAACAGAGAAGCUGUUGGAUGUCAGCAACAUUAGAUGACAGAUAUAAAAUGCAAAUUUUCCAAAACAGCAGGGAAAGGGAAUUAACAGAGAACACUAGCAGCCAUCUUCAAAUAUCUAGACCUGUGGACAAGGAUUAUCUAAGUAUCGACGAGCUUGUGUCAAUUUUAAGAGAUAAUUCUUGCGAAGAUCUUUGUGUUAUUAAGGUAGAUGUUACAAGAGUCCAAUUCCAUUAUGUAGACUAUUUUAUUGUUGUAAGUGGACGCUCUGUGAGGCAUUUGAAGUCAAUGGCAAACGCACUGUGUGCCAAGUUUAAGGAAAAGGUUAGAGAGAGGAGAGGGAAGUCUACAGCAGUUGUUGAAGGGGAACAUUGCAAUGAUUGGAUGGUUGUUGAUAUUGGCAACAUUGUUGUCCACUUCAUGAUGCCAGAAACCAGGGAAAUUUACGAACUGGAGAAGCUUUGGACUUUAGGACCGUAUUUUGACGAUCAGCUGGUAGAAAUGGCAAAUCUCCCUGACAAAUCUGAGAUGGUGUUGCCAUUUAAGUCUAAAUUUACAAGCGGGAAGCGGCUUUCAAAGGGGAUGAAAUGUGACUAACAUGACGUGUGGUUGCAUAAAAUUGAAUGUACGCUUCUGCAGCAAAGAUGCUGAUGUACCAAUGCAUCAAUGUCAAAAUGUAUCAAGUAUUGAUUUGGGCCUACUGUUUCAUGGCUGUAUUUUUGUAUUUCUAACCUUUAGAUGCCAAAAAGAAACCACUAUGUUGUGAUGCGUGUCCUAACUGAAAUGAUUUUUUAUGUGUUCUAGAUCUAUUUAUUCCUAAAGCCUGUUCGAAACAAAGAGGUUUUAAUAAUACAUUAAAAUAUUCAUUGCUCUAAAGCUCACUCCUCCCAUUCAUUUUACUCAUUUUUUCAGUAACAUUUUCUUUCCCGUUCAAAUUAGUAACUCAACAGCCUGAAGCAAAGUACUGCGCUGUUCUACCAAGGGGUGGUGUUGGGGCCUGUAAGUUCAAGUGUUCUCUCUAAAAUCGGUUUUUGAGCCAGAAAAAGAAACUGCUUUGCAUAAUCUAGCUUGAAUUUAAGAAUUUGAAGAUCUCAUAUUUACCAGUUCUCUACUCUAAAAUAUAGGAUCUUUCAUUGAAUGUAUUGAUUAGAUUUGCAUGGGGCAAAGGUCAUACAACAUUUCAUGACACCUCUGUCAAUAGAAAGCAAAGACUUAGUAGCGAGCCGCGUACAAUUUCAUCUAUUCUUAAGCUUGACAUCCACUUUUAGCUACUUUGACCUUGUUUGCAACCGAUGCAAUCGGAAUAUUUUGGUGCAAGAAACAUUACUCCUGAUUCGAAACUCCCUGUUUAUGGUCGAUACCAAACCUCCAUAAAGUGGAUUGACAGCAUUCUUUCCCAUAAGUCCAAAGCCUUUAGAGUCGAUGGCCACCACUUCAGUCCUUACACAAUAUAUGCUGGUGCUCCACAGAGUUAUAUCGUAUCUCCUGUUUUAUUCAUUCGUUUCAACAAUCAUCUACUUUCUUCGACCUUUAUAAGUAUCAUUCUUUCGCUGAUGACACCUAAACUUUUUAGGGUCCUUUUGGUCACAACACAAUUCACUGAUGAACACUACCUUUCAAAGAAAUGUGAGAAGUGGGUAAAACUUUCUCAUUGAUUUUUCUCAUCCAAGUAUCUGUUAGCCUUUUACAAAUCGGAAUUCGUCCUACUUUAGAUUACUGCUCUCAUGUUAAUCGUACCGCUUCUAAAUCUUCUCUAGGUUUUCUUGACACAAUCUAUUCAAAGGCCAUUUGCCCCAAGUAUCAUCAAAUAACGUUUUCAUUGGUAUUGAUUGUUGAAUUUUUUCUUUUCGGCCAUUUUGAUAACUGGGUUAUCGAUUUUAAGAAAGCUCGUUUUUCAUUCAAACAAGAGUGUUUGUUCAAAUCGCGUCUAUAGAUUCUAAUUCGAUUGUUUUUCAAGUCCUUUUUCCAGGCUGUUUUGUUACAUCUGCGGCAAAUCGUUAUAAUGAUUUAUAGCUUAUAUUUGAUCUGUAGUCAACGAAAAAAUUUAAGCAUGGCUUUAUCCUAUUUUCUGGUAGUUCACACACACAGUAAGGAAGGUAAAGUAUCUAAACCUAGAAAAAAAUAAUUGGAUAAAAUGAAUACUUUCUCAAAAAAACUUUUCGAAAUAUUUGGAUGUAUUCAUUAACGAAAAGUCAAAUUCGAAACAUUCUUAUAAGUCAAGUUGAUAUAAAACAUUGAAAAGCAUCAGUAUUCUUCUCUAUAUAUUAAUGAAAUAUGUUUCCUUAUAAAUUUUAAGCAUUUGUUCGUUUUUCUAGCCACAAGUGCUCUAUGCUCUGCUCCAUGAUCAACACUAAUUUUCGAUGCAGUUGUUGCUAAGCGGUUUGAAUGAUAAAAUCUGCUUAAUACAUUGUUCAUGGUAACCCAAUAUGGGAAUUAGGAAUUAGGCUACUUAACUUUGAGCCAGAAAACUCAUGUUUCGUAUAGUUAAAUAAAAUAAAUUGCUGUUUGGCAUAGAUUUAAACUUGAUUUGGCUUUUUUAUUAGAAAUGUAAUUGCGUUACAACGGCACAUGGUGCCCAUCCUCAAGAGCCCCAUCAGCGUUAGAUUUUCAUUAUGAAUUGUCGGUCAAGGGCAAAGGUCUUGCAACGUUUUAUAAACCCGUUUAACUGAACCGCAUGAACACAAGAAUAUCGAUAGAAGAGCUCCACUACUGAAUAUACAGUGCUACGUAGGUUUGGAAAGUUGAUGUAUUUUUGUGUAGAGUCUGGCCAAAAUGUCUCAUAUCCAGCCUUUCGUAAAGUCAAGCAAAUCAGUGCCUGAAUCAUUGAAGAAGACCAUUUUAACAGCUUGCUAGAUUAUGCUUAUUUUAAGCAGAAUUGAAAUCGGCGUGUAGUUGACGAAGUGUCUAACAUCUCAACUUUUAAACAUUUCUAGGAAAUCUUCCUACGUAAAGUUUGUUGUGAUGAUGGCAGCUCAGCAACUUUACAUACUUAAUUAGUUUUUUGGCUUUGCUUUCACCAAAAUGCUAAUUAUGUGCUAGCUCAAAAGUCUUAUUUAGGGACGCGUCGAAGUAUCUACAACAGGGGGGGGGGGAGGAUAUGUGGCUUUAUCCAAAAAAGAUUUCAUAGCCCCUUUAAUAAAGGACAGAAAAAUUCCAUGGCCCGUUGUGAAAAGACAAAUGUUUUUCGUGGCCCAUGUCAAAACUUCAUGGUUUAUUUUUCAGCUUGCUGAUAGCAUUUAGUUAUCUAGAUGUUUCAUUUUGUUGGUAUGUUUUCAUCAUGACAUUAAAAUUGUUGCCAUCAAAAUCUUGAACCAUCAUUUACACUCAUUCACGCUGGUCUACAUGAAACGAAAUAUGUAUCUACAUGAAACGAACUCUGUUGUAGCUUGUGGUGACACGACCACUUUUUGUUUUUAUGAAAAUACUCUCAGGAACAAAGUCAUUUUCGAUAUUUUCUCUUUCACCAUCACUGUCAUUAUCUCCCCUUUUACUGUCACCAUCGUUACUGGCUGUUGCACGAAUCACAUCAUCCUCUGUGCUGCUGCUAUAAUCUCCAAAAUUGCUACCAUUUCCAUUUUCUGGAAGAUCAUCUUUUUCCAUUUCUGUUGCUGGUUUGUCUAUAGCAUCAUCUCUUGCUGCAUUCACUGGAACAAGCGUUGUUGCAAUAUGUCCUUUAAUGAAAUUCACCUUUGCGGUCUUUUUAAGCUUCACAGCAUGUUUCAGUUGAUAAUGAUGAAGGUUUUUAUCCAGAACAUUUACUGUCUGUUUCUUUAGCAAGCCAUUGUGAAACAAAUCAACCCAAUAAAACUCAUCAAGCUACUUUUCUUUGUUUGCCUCCCGAUUUUGCUUUCUCACAUCCUGGCGCUUUUCAUUUCGUAUUCUUUUACCAUCCAAGUGAUUUAGAUAGUCUGGCAGUCUAAUUUAGAUAGUUAGUUAGUCUGCCUGUUUCAAACAUAAUUUCAAAGGUUGAGAAAAUGCUUGACCCCAAUAACAAAGAUGUGGAUGGCAAUGCCAUCAAUGUCACCAAAUAUUCAUCUGCACUUAUAAGGAUCAGUGUACGUGAUGUUCACUGUGUUGAAAAUACUAAACUCAAGGUAGAGACAUUUCUGCAAGAACUUUCAGACGUCAAGGAAACCACUGAAUGUUUAAAAAUGUUUAAAACCGCUGUUAGAUCAGAACAUAAAGAGCGCCUUCAAAACCAUCUUGUAUCUCAAGGUACCGUUCUUUCCUUCAUCUUUGACCACUCUCUUCCUAUAGCCUCUAAAAUAUGGACCACGGCUCAAAGCAACAUGCCCAAAAACAUUUACAGUUUAACUAUCAAAAAUCUUAGCAACUCCCUUGCCGCGCGAAAAAACCUAUCUAAAUGGAACUCUGCAUUAAACUUCCUAGCACAGUCUUUUAGGGCUAUACCUAAUUGCUCUCUUUUACAUAGACCUUUUAGGUUAUCUCACACCCUCUAUCAUAACAGGAGACUCUUUCCGUCCUGAUCUACUUCUAGUCACUUCUGACCAUCGCCUAUUCAUACUCGAGCUUACAGUAGGAUACGAAACUAACUUGGAUGUUAAUGCUGACCGCAAAAGAGAGAAAUACUUGCAUCUCAUUCACAGCCUAAGCUCAGCCUAUUCUUCUAUCAUGUUUGUUAAUCUUUCUAUCAGUUCCCUAGGUAUCUUUGGUCUCUCCUGCUCCUCUUUCAUGUGCAACGCUCUAGAUAUCAGCGAGAAUCAUCUCCGCUUCAUGAUUUCCAAACUAUCCAACUUAACUAUCCGUACUACCUAUUACAUUUUCUGCCGCAGAAAUAAAUCUUGGAAUAAUCCUGAACUUCUUCAAUUCUAACGAUCUCUGCUACUGACAACUUCUAAAACAAACAAUGACGAACACACUUUUUCCUUUUUUGUUAAUUUAUUUUGUUUGUGCUUUUAAUAGUCUUUUUCUUUGUAAACCCAGGCUAGCCAAUUGCAAAUUACUCUUUUAAUAGUGAAGUUGGUAAUUGUAUUUUAAUUGAAUUGAAAAUGAAAAGUUUCCAUUAUCAUUAUAUAUUCAUAUACACUCCCCUCACGAAAGUACCCGGACAGUUCGAAGAUCGAUGGCGCUUUCAGACAAAAACAAAUUUAGGCUGGCAAAAACGACUUUUUAACUUAGUGAAAAUGAUUUUUUGAGAAACCCCCCAAAAUAUGAGAAACCUUUGCGCUCAAGCCUUACGCAAAUCAACUGAUGUCAAAUAGGCGAAGAACAGCAAAGUCAGGUGACUUGGACUCAGUUAAAAUGGGCCAAUAAAGCAUGGUAAUUUUUUACAAACUGGUUCUUGAGACACACAUAUUUUCGAAUAAAUAGAAAUUCAACGUGUUUACUCUCAGUUUGGAAAAAUGUUAGCAUAGAGAUGCCACCGAUCGAUUAUAAAACUUCCUUGCAAUUUCCUUGAAAGUUUUAUUGUUUAUGAACAUUUAAUGCAGUUUUGCGUAAUGAUGCAAACCAGUUUUGAUGCAAAUUUGGUUAGGGCUGAACGCUCAGACGUUGGUGUCGCGAGAGCUCUUGCUCUUUUUAACCGUGAACAAUUUUUUAGACUUCUUGUUUUACAAAUCUUUUUGCAUAUCUCGAAAGCGGCAGUCUUUGGGCAUUCAAUGAUACUAGCAAUUUAAUGAUAGCUUUUUUCCAUCAUUGUGGUAAAACAUUAUUUCUAGACACUGCUCAGAAGUCAAUUCAUGUCUUUCGGUCGCUACCAUCUUCAGGAAAAACCCUCACAGAGUUUGCUGACAUAUCAAUAAAAUUAUACUUUUUCGACGAAUACAUAGAUUAAAGGCCAAAAAAACGUCAAGAAAAAAUUCGAGGAAAUUGAUUAAAACGUUUUCAUGAAAACUGACACUGAAAUUUGUAAACAAAUUCCUCUAACAACAGAUUCGCAACUGAAUUCGAAACUGUCCGGAUACUUUCGUGAGGGGAAUGUAUAUAAUUUUUUCCAUUAUUUGCUGGCUAUGAACAUUUUAUCUUUUAACACUUAUAGCAUAAUUCUGUUUUGUUAACUUCAGUAUAAAAUUUUUUUCUUUUUCAAACUUCAAAUAAAACUGCUGUAACAUUUAAGGCUAUAUACUUUUAUAUUGUUAUUUAACCUUGCACAAGAGGGCACAGGACUCGAUUACCGAUUUGGUUUAUCCCAGUGCCAUGGACAACAUUUUGGCAUGUUUUUUGAAUUAUUAGUUUAUGUUUUUGAUUUUUCCUCUCUUAUUUUUAAUUUUAUAUUACAUACGUUACAUUGUAAAUGAUGUUGUUGAAUAACAUGAAAUUGAAAUUAAAAAAAAUUGCACCAAACAAGUUUUCGUUUUGCAAAUACUGGUUAUUGGGCACCCUAUAUCAUUGGCACCCUGGUAUUCAGGGUUACAACGAGGCUGGGCCCAGUCUUCUUGGCUUUUGUUUACACCCUUCCACGUUUUAGUGUUUUCAAAGCUAUUCCUGGCAAUUUAGGUACAACGAUUGUGGAAAAGAGUCCGGUGGAACUGAUUAUAGAAACGACUUGAACAUGGCAUCUUGUUUGUUUUCUCGUGGACGGCUGUUGGUACCAAGACUGAGUACUGUCUUGCGGCCCCAACUUUGUUUCAAAUCUGAAUCUGCCAAGGAAGCAUUCAGGAAAAUAUUCCCACGCAUGGGGGCAGGUAAGCUGAAGGCCAGGUACGAUGCAAACAGUUAUGGACAAACAGUUGGCCCUGAGUACCCUUUUGACAUCGAGAAAACACCCGAAGGAAAGUUGAAACGAGAGAAGUCAAAGGGAACAAUGGGCUCUGUUACAGUGGAGGAGAUUGUUGAUAUACUAAGAAGUAAUGGCGGAGAAAAUAUUAAAUUGGCGAAGCUGCACCAAGAUUUACAUUAUGCGGAUCAUUUUGUUAUUGUCAGUGCGAAGAACACAGAACAUUUAAAGUCGAUGACACAAGAGCUUGCAUCAAAGCUCAUUGCUGCACACCAAGGAGAUGCAAUACAUGUAGAGGGGCUGGGAAGCUUUGACUGGAUGGUUGUUGAUGCAGGUCAAGUUGUUGUUCAUCUGUUCCUGCAGCACAUCAGAGAUGAUUACAAUAUAGAUGAAGCUUGGGCAGAAAAAGAAGGAUCUGCUGUCUGAAACAAGUAUAUAUUGAAAAAAUCCAUAUUCUUGCAGUUGAAAAAACACUCACACUUGCUGCUCUUAGCCUAGCUUCAGCUUUAGAUACCUCUUGUUGUUAAAUUGUAAAGGAGACAUGAAUUCUUUAGCUUGAAGAUAUGUAAAAUUUUACAAUAUUUUGAAUUCAUUAAUAAACAUUGUCAAACAAGAAAAUUUGCUCAACACACAAAUUUUAUAUUACAUAAAUAUUCACUUUAUCAA